RNAcentral lists this unclassified non-coding RNA (343 nucleotides) under soil metagenome. RNAcentral's name for it is "partial contains 5.8S ribosomal RNA, internal transcribed spacer 2, and large subunit ribosomal RNA". The stretch from base 1 to 120 matches the Rfam family "5.8S ribosomal RNA", at positions 35 to 154 of the family's 154-position model. The record is from RNAcentral.
GAUGAAGAACGUAGCGAAACGCGAUAAGUAAUGUGAAUUGCAGAAUCCAGUGAAUCAUCGAAUCUUUGAACGCACAUUGCGCCCGCCAGCAUUCUGGCGGGCAUGUCUGUUCGAGCGUCAUUUCAACCCUCGACCUCCCCUUGGGGAGGUCGGCGUUGGGGACCGGCAGCACACCGCCGGCCCUGAAAUGGAGUGGCGGCCCGUCCGCGGCGACCUCUGCGCAGUAAUACAGCUCGCACCGGGACCCCGACGCGGCCACGCCGUAAAACACCCAACUUCUGAACGUUGACCUCGAAUCAGGUAGGACUACCCGCUGAACUUAAGCAUAUCAAUAAGCGGAGGA